GUGGUCAUUAGCGAUUCCACAA
Molecule: non-coding RNA, 22 nt
Filed under: Arabidopsis thaliana (thale cress)
Lineage: Eukaryota; Viridiplantae; Streptophyta; Magnoliopsida; Brassicales; Brassicaceae
Source: RNAcentral